Molecule: ribosomal RNA, 439 nt
Filed under: uncultured bacterium
Lineage: Bacteria
Description: partial 16S ribosomal RNA
Rfam family: Bacterial small subunit ribosomal RNA
Source: RNAcentral
CCUACGGGCGGCAGCAGUGGGGAAUAUUGCACAAUGGGCGAAAGCCUGAUGCAGCAACGCCGCGUGAGCGAUGAAGGCCUUCGGGUUGUAAAGCCCUGUCCUUAAGGAAGAUAAUGACGGUACCUGAGGAGUAAGCCCCGGCUAACUACGUGCCAGCAGCCGCGGUAAUACGUAGGGGGCUAGCGUUAUUCGGAAUUACUGGGCGAAAAGGGUGCGUAGGUGGUUUUUUAAGUCAGAGGUGAAAGGCUACGGCUCAACCGUAGUAAGCCUUUGAGACUGGGGAACUUGAGUGCGGGAGAGGAGAGUGGAAUUCGUGGUGUAGCGGUGAAAUGCGUAGAUAUUAGGAGGAACACCCAUUGCGAAGGCGGCUCUCUGGACUGUAACUGACACUGAGGCACGAAAGCGUGGGGAGCAAACAGGAUUAGAUACCCGAGUAGUC